GGGGGUGACAUGGCUUCGACGUGGGUGUUGACGCCGUUUGUCGCAUGCCGAGUUUGUCGCUGACUCGUUAAUCAGGCGGCAAAUUGCUAAUUGGCAACGACCAACUAGCCGCUGCUUAAUUAAGUAGCCGUCCUGGAGAGCUUCUCCCACGGGUUCUCUAAGGGCGCCAAUUUGUGGGAUCGGUGAGUGGUGGCAUCUCAGCACCAUGAUCCUAAACUUUACUGAGAUCAGCCUUUCGGUUGCCUUGUCUGCUGGGACGCCGAUUGGCGAAUCUAAAUAGCGGACUAAGCAUGUAGUGGCAUCGACUGAUCGCUUGCGGACGGGGGU
Molecule: transfer-messenger RNA, 327 nt
Filed under: Bdellovibrionales bacterium
Lineage: Bacteria; Pseudomonadati; Bdellovibrionota; Bdellovibrionia; Bdellovibrionales
Description: partial transfer-messenger RNA
Rfam family: transfer-messenger RNA
About the family: Bacterial tmRNA, also known as 10Sa RNA or SsrA, is named for its dual tRNA and mRNA-like properties. Its role is to liberate the mRNA from a stalled ribosome.
Source: RNAcentral